GGUGGUGCAUGGUUGUCGUCAGCUCGUGUCGUGAGAUGUUGGGUUAAGUCCCGCAACGAGCGCAACCCCUAAGCUUAGUUGCCAGCAUUCAGUUGGGCACUCUAAGGUGACUGCCGGUGACAAACCGGAGGAAGGUGGGGAUGACGUCAAAUCAUCAUGCCCCUUAUGACCUGGGCUACACACGUGCUACAAUGGACGGUACAAACGGUUGCCAACCCGCGAGGGGGAGCUAAUCCGAUAAAACCGUUCUCAGUUCGGAUUGUAGGCUGCAACUCGCCUACAUGAAGCCGGAAUCGCUAGUAAUCGUGGAUCAGCAUGCCACGGUGAAUACGUUCCCGGGUCUUGUACACAC
This 352-nucleotide ribosomal RNA is filed under the name uncultured bacterium. RNAcentral describes it as "bacterial SSU rRNA". It matches the Rfam family "Bacterial small subunit ribosomal RNA", at positions 1037 to 1390 of the family's 1533-position model. The record is from RNAcentral.